UUUCUGCCUGAUGGUAGCAGAUUCUACACCUUUUGCUUAGCGGCAGUUUGCUGGGCUAUUUGGAACCGUUGUAAUCGAGCUACAUUUGAAUUUAAGAAGCUUGGGAAUCCUUCUGAAAUUGUUUUCUCUUCAUGUGUGUUUAUGGACUAUUGGGCAGGUUUGAUGAAGGAGGAGGAUCGACAGGUGAUGAGGGGGGGCGCUGAUGCUCAAAGACAAUGCCAGCAACACGAUGCGCACCUGCGCAGCGAUCCAGGAUGA
RNAcentral lists this ribosomal RNA (258 nucleotides) under Triticum aestivum (bread wheat). Its description in RNAcentral is "partial small subunit ribosomal RNA". The record is from RNAcentral. Lineage: Eukaryota; Viridiplantae; Streptophyta; Magnoliopsida; Poales; Poaceae.